RNAcentral lists this transfer RNA (72 nucleotides) under Candidatus Portnoybacteria bacterium RIFCSPHIGHO2_12_FULL_40_11. Its description in RNAcentral is "tRNA-Pro". It matches the Rfam family "tRNA". Rfam says of the family: Transfer RNA (tRNA) molecules are approximately 80 nucleotides in length. Their secondary structure includes four short double-helical elements and three loops (D, anti-codon, and T loops). RNAcentral also lists the same sequence under 1 other name. The record is from RNAcentral. Lineage: Bacteria; Candidatus Portnoyibacteriota.
CGGGGCGUAGUACAGUGGUUAGUAUGCAGGGCUGGGGGUCCUGUGACCCGGGUUCAACUCCCGGCGCCCCGA